GGUGAGGUGGCCGAGUGGUCGAAGGCGCACGCCUGGAAAGCGUGUAACGGGCAACCGUUCGAGAGUUCGAAUCUCUCCCUCACCGCCA
This 88-nucleotide transfer RNA is filed under the name Alcanivorax sp. RNAcentral describes it as "tRNA-Ser". It matches the Rfam family "tRNA". From Rfam's summary of the family: Transfer RNA (tRNA) molecules are approximately 80 nucleotides in length. Their secondary structure includes four short double-helical elements and three loops (D, anti-codon, and T loops). Further hydrogen bonds mediate the characteristic L-shaped molecular structure. tRNAs have two regions of fundamental functional importance: the anti-codon, which is responsible for specific mRNA codon recognition, and the 3' end, to which the tRNAs corresponding amino acid is attached (by aminoacyl-tRNA synthetases). tRNAs cope with the degeneracy of the genetic code in two manners: having more than one tRNA (with a specific anti-codon) for a particular amino acid; and 'wobble' base-pairing, i.e. permitting non-standard base-pairing at the 3rd anti-codon position. Lineage: Bacteria; Pseudomonadati; Pseudomonadota; Gammaproteobacteria; Oceanospirillales; Alcanivoracaceae. RNAcentral also lists the same sequence under 4 other names. The record is from RNAcentral.